UUAUGAUGAGUUAUUUAGAUGACGAGUCUGAACCUGCUGAGGCCGAGUUUCUUUGUUUCAGCGGAACGUGACGACUCUAUCAAAUAUUAUACCAUUCAUGCUUUUCUGAUA
This 111-nucleotide small nucleolar RNA is filed under the name Hypsizygus marmoreus. Lineage: Eukaryota; Fungi; Basidiomycota; Agaricomycetes; Agaricales; Lyophyllaceae. The record is from RNAcentral.